GCUUCCUGUGCCUGCAGAGAAAUGAGGGGAAAAUCCCUUUAGAGAAUAUCUCAGCCCCCAGUGAUGAGCUCUUACUGAUAUCAUUAAUCAGCAGAUAAAUGGUAGUGUUUUGUAGUUUAGUGUCUGCUCUUAGACUCUUAGAGAUGGGUGUGGGACCCUGGAUUGGGUGAAGAAGGAAUACCAGCUGUUAGUAUUUUUUUUUAAACUUCAAAUAUCUAGAGAAAAAUACCUAAGUGAAAUGUUCUUGCAAUUCUCUCAAAUAACCAAAUGACUCCUGCUUUUCUCCUGUUUAUUUUACAGUAUGUAGUUUGUGCCACAGGUGAUACCACUUUGUCCAGGCAGCACUUUGGAGCAUUUCCCUGAUGCUGAACACGUGUUGAGGUUUUUCUCUUCGCCUAAGGGUGAAGGCUCCAGUGCAGGAUAAACUCAAAAGCUUCUGAGAUGCAGACUGGGGAAAAAAUAUUCCUGGCCAGUUUCUGCUACCUGUCACUGGAAUCAAGGUCAUGGCUCUCCUUGAAGCCUUCAGCAGAUAAAAGCAGUCCAAGCAGAAACGUGGAUUUAACGGGGAGCCUGGGGUGAUGCUCUGUUGUGUGCUGUGGGAGCCCACUUGGUCCUGAGGCUUUGCAAAUCAUGUUCAAGACCUCCUGAGAGAUGAGGCUGUCACCAGUGAAAAUGCCCUGGCUGGAAGCUCUGUGGGUUGGAGGAAGAAGGUGAGCAGUGGUCUGCAGCCCAGAGCCUUCAG
Serinus canaria (Common canary) is the source of this 742-nucleotide long non-coding RNA. RefSeq lists it as uncharacterized. The record is from RefSeq and is a predicted model, not a curated record. The transcript has 4 exons. NCBI's taxonomy places the organism in Eukaryota, Metazoa, Chordata, Aves, Passeriformes, Fringillidae.